RNAcentral lists this ribosomal RNA (415 nucleotides) under uncultured bacterium. RNAcentral describes it as "bacterial SSU rRNA". It matches the Rfam family "Bacterial small subunit ribosomal RNA", at positions 32 to 424 of the family's 1533-position model. The record is from RNAcentral.
AAUCAACGCUGGCGGCGCGCCUAACACAUGCAAGUCGAACGAGAACGGUUUCCGCUCUUAGCAAUAGGAGCGGGGCUUAGUAAAGUGGCGUACGGGUGAGUAACACGUGGAUAACCUACCCUUGAGUGGGGGAUAACCUGGGUAAACCCGGGCUAAUACCGCAUGACAUCUUGAUGGCUUAAGUCGUUGAGAUCAAAGGAGCAAUUCGCUAGAGGAGGGGUCUGCGGCCGAUUAGCUUGNGGCGGGGUAACGGCCCACCAAGGCAAUGAUCGGUAGCCGGUCUGAGAGGACGCACGGGCCACACUGGAACUGACACACGGUCCAGACUCCUACGGGAGGCAGCAGUGGGGAAUCUUGCACAAUGGGGGAAACCCUGAUGCAGCGACGCCGCGUGGGUGAUGAAGCUCUUCGGAGU